GUAGCAAUACAUCACCGGCGGACGGGUGCGUAACGCGUGGGAAUGUACCUAUUGGUUCGGAACAACUGAGGGAAACUUCAGCUAAUACCGGAUGAGCCCGAAAGGGGAAAGAUUUCUCGCCAAUGGAUCAGCCCGCGUCCGAUUAGCUAGUUGGUGGGGUAAUGGCCUACCAAGGCGACGAUCGGUAGCUGUUCUGAGAGGAAGAUCAGCCACACUGGGACUGAGACACGGCCCAGACUCCUACGGGAGGCAGCAGUUGGGAAUCUUGGACAAUGGGGGAAACCCUGAUCCAGCCAUGCCGCGUGGGUGAUGAAGGCCUUCGGG
RNAcentral lists this ribosomal RNA (324 nucleotides) under uncultured bacterium. Its description in RNAcentral is "bacterial SSU rRNA". It matches the Rfam family "Bacterial small subunit ribosomal RNA", at positions 72 to 422 of the family's 1533-position model. The record is from RNAcentral.